Molecule: non-coding RNA, 94 nt
Organism: Alternaria postmessia
Lineage: Eukaryota; Fungi; Ascomycota; Dothideomycetes; Pleosporales; Pleosporaceae
Source: the annotation of a RefSeq genome assembly
CAGUCUAGUGGUAUGAUUCUCGCUUAGGGAGCCCUUUUAUGACACAAACCCAAGCACAGCUUGCGAGAGGCCCCGCGUUCGAGUCGCGGUAAGA